Molecule: long non-coding RNA, 410 nt
Filed under: Theobroma cacao (cacao)
Lineage: Eukaryota; Viridiplantae; Streptophyta; Magnoliopsida; Malvales; Malvaceae
Description: long non-coding RNA (TCAC_LNC005529)
Source: RNAcentral
CGACUAUGAUCAACUUUCAAAAAAAAAAAACACUACGAUCCACGUGCCUUGUUACCUAAAGCUAUGGUUACUUGUAAAUGCUUAAACACUUAGAAAAAUAUCAUAUCUCUUAUAAUGCCUACUAAUAAAUUCUUUUUGCAAGUUUCAACUAAUAUGGGAGUAAGUGUGGCAAAGCUGUUUCAUUAUGGCAUGAUGCGUGGCUAGAGGAUAUGAUUCUCCAAUAAGAAUUUCCAAGACUGUUCACCUUGACAUUGAACAAAGAAGGCAGACUAUGUGACCACGAGGUAUGGAUUAACAGUGGCUGUAAAUGGAAAAUUAAGUUAAGAUAUCAAUUAUUUGGUUGGGAAUUCCAAUAGUGGACUAGAUUAUGGAGCUAUCUUCAAGAGCACAUUUUCAGUGACAGUUUGAAU